GCGGAUGAAGGCAGCAGGAGAGACCCGGUUUUUCGGGCGCCGAAGGAGUAAGCCUUUAAAGUGUUGCUUGGCUUUAAAGGUGAAACUCUCAGGCAAAAGGACUGUUGCCGGACGAAACUCUGGAGAGUCCCUUAAAGGGCACCCACGGGGAGUUUAAUCUCUCAGGUCAAAGGACAGAGGC
Regulatory RNA element from Carboxydothermus hydrogenoformans Z-2901, 181 nucleotides. It matches the Rfam family "glycine-GGAnGA riboswitch aptamer". From Rfam's summary of the family: glycine-GGAnGA riboswitch is a variant of glycine riboswitch that have in common a U69A change. Lineage: Bacteria; Bacillati; Bacillota; Clostridia; Thermoanaerobacterales; Thermoanaerobacteraceae. The record is from Rfam.